UACGGAGGAUCCAAGCGUUAUCCGGAAUCAUUGGGUUUAAAGGGUCUGUAGGCGGUUUUGUAAGUCAGUGGUGAAAGCCCAUCGCUCAACGGUGGAACGGCCAUUGAUACUGCAAGACUUGAAUUACUAGGAAGUAACUAGAAUAUGUAGUGUAGCGGUGAAAUGCUUAGAUAUUACAUGGAAUACCAAUUGCGAAGGCAGGUUACUACUAGUGGAUUGACGCUGAUGGACGAAAGCGUGGGGAGCGAACAGG
Molecule: ribosomal RNA, 253 nt
Filed under: uncultured bacterium
Lineage: Bacteria
Description: partial 16S ribosomal RNA
Rfam family: Bacterial small subunit ribosomal RNA
Source: RNAcentral